Paramuricea clavata is the source of this 384-nucleotide non-coding RNA. The record is from the annotation of a GenBank genome assembly. Lineage: Eukaryota; Metazoa; Cnidaria; Anthozoa; Malacalcyonacea; Plexauridae.
CGCAUUGAUUAACACCUAGCACAAGGAACUGUCAAUCUUAUCUUCAGCCUCAAUAUUCCAAUUAUUGGAUCGCUUUACCUAACAAUUAAUAUAUACUUUUGGAAGCCGAUUGUUUUUCAUUCCCUAUAAUGCAAAACAUAUUUCGAAGAACAUCAUCCUGUAUUCUGGUUGUGGUUUUGCUUGCCAUGCAUGACAAUCAAUUUUCUUUUAUUUUCUCCAUCUCACAUUCCCCCCAAAUUAAGUAUAGUUUGCUGCUUCAGUUCAUCCAUAUUUAAAUAAGUUCCACUUUGUAAUGAAGUAAAGGCAAUAUCCUAGCCUAUUUCGACCUUAACUGUUUGUUUUAAAGUUUGGAAAAUUUUCUUUUUAAUUAAAUCACAAAGUUUG